AUGGUAAUUAGUUGUGUAUCUAGUCUUAAUUACAAUAUACAUAUCUUGAUGAAUAUGAAUUUGGUGCCCCUACUGUCAUAUGCAAGUACCAAUAUGGAUGAUCGUGAGUGGAUGUACACUGGCCACCCUAGUCAGGCUGGCAUGACCACUGAAUGGGUGACGAAGACCAAUGAAUUUGUAGAGGCAACAUUUGCUAGAGGCCAAAGAAAAAGUUGGUGCCCCUGCUUGAAGUGUGACAACGACAGAGAACAGGCGAAGAAGACGAUGUGUAGGCACCUGCAGAAGCAUGGGUUUAAGCGUGGGUAUACCCGGUGGACCCUUCAUGGCGAGCCUGAACGUAGCAGAGAGGAGGUGGUGCGUCGGCGAACCGACAACAAUGGUACCGAGAUCGUUGACAUUGUAGCUGACUUCAACGAUGCACGUGAAGAGGGAUCAGAGGAAGAACCAGAGGAGUCUGCGAGGGCCUUCUUAGAAAUGUUGAAUUCCUCAGAACAACCUCUUCACGACCACACAAACCAAUGUUAG
This 525-nucleotide ribosomal RNA is filed under the name Triticum aestivum (bread wheat). RNAcentral describes it as "partial small subunit ribosomal RNA". The record is from RNAcentral. Lineage: Eukaryota; Viridiplantae; Streptophyta; Magnoliopsida; Poales; Poaceae.